Misgurnus anguillicaudatus (oriental weatherfish) is the source of this 1116-nucleotide long non-coding RNA. RefSeq lists it as uncharacterized. The record is from RefSeq and is a predicted model, not a curated record. Lineage: Eukaryota; Metazoa; Chordata; Actinopteri; Cypriniformes; Cobitidae.
CGAUCGCCUGAAGUCAAACACAUUCAGUUAUUUGCGUGAGGAUGGCAGUUCGUUUGGCAUCAUGUUAACAUGGAAUAAAGAAAAGAAAGUCCAAAGAGGAAGAGGAUGGAGGAAGUUGUACAAAUCUUGCAGAGAUAUUCCCAAAACACCAUUGUACCCUUGAGCAAGGCAUUUACCUCCAGGAGAAAUCAUUUACAAGCCAAUGGCCAAGCAGCGCACUCAAUCCACAGUGCAGCAUUCCUAACUGUGAAAGCUAGGAGAUGUCACCAGGGAGAAUAGAGAGAGAGCGCAUUGAGCCCGGCCAGGAGUGAGUGGAAUGACCAAAGCCAUACAGGAAACUAUAUGACUGCAAUGAGAAAACACAACAAUUCAACCGAGAGGGACAGCCCCCGCCCCAUGUGCCCUCCCCACUCUCUUGCCUUGUUUGUGGACCACCCAAGAUGGCCUCAGAGGCAGGAACGAACAUUUUUAAAAAUAAAUUGUUGGAAGGGACAUAACUGACUGUGACACUCAAGAUGGCUACCAGGUAAGCAGUUCUUAUUUUUUCUCUCCAGAUAAAAGUUGAAAUUUUGUUUGUCAUAGUACCUAGAAAACUUUUUAGUUCUCAUUAAUUUGUAAAUGCAUAUAUUUAAUGUAAUAUCAUGUUGCGGUAAUGAUAAUUUUGGAUAAUGAUAAUCUAAAAAAUGUAAAUAAUUCUAUAGGAAAUAUUUUUAAAUCCUAUAAAAAUAAAGGUUAUAAUAAGUUCAGACCUUAAUCUUAUAUGUGCAAAAAAUAAAUAAAAAAUAUUGGCUUCAAGGGCUUUUUAAAAAUUCUGAUGCUGGACACCUUCUAAAUCUGGAUUUCGUUAGAAUCACCAAUUUAGGAUGUGCUAUGUAACAUUAUGCUAUGUAAACACUGUCUGAUAUGUGUUUAGGAAUGCUUAUAUUCUUACCAGGACAGAUCCACCAGUCCUCCUUGAUUUGCUAUGGCAGAUUUUACCCUGUUUGCAAAAUGAACAGCAUCCUCCCCAUCCUAAUAAGAUACAAAUCAAAUAAUAAUGAAUAAAACUGUAAGAUUGUGAAAUGUUGUACAAUCUAAAACUUUAACAGAAACUUGUGUUUGUCUGCUUUUAGGCAU